AGGAGCUCGAGUAGAAAUGAUUGACUCGGCGAGUCAACUCGGUCUGCGCGUGGGAGAAUAGAACAGGAGGAUUUUCUGCCACAGCCUUCAGCAACUCGCUCUCGGAGACCCUAUUCUCGGGGUUCAAAGUUUUCGAUUCAACCAUCUUCUUACGGACGGCUUUUUCCACAGAGCUGUAAUCUGGCGGGAGAGGACGUUCAGCGCCAUUAGUAUCACACCAGUUGAGAAUCGUCGAUUUGAUGGCUAAAUUGGGGAUUACAGUAGUUAAAUCCGGAAUGGAACCAUCAUCGAGGGAAGGAGCGAAAUUCAGGUCUCGACAAACCUGGACAGAGACGCGCUCGAAGGUCUGACCGGAGGAGAC
RNAcentral lists this unclassified non-coding RNA (361 nucleotides) under Hevea brasiliensis (rubber tree). Lineage: Eukaryota; Viridiplantae; Streptophyta; Magnoliopsida; Malpighiales; Euphorbiaceae. The record is from RNAcentral.